This 446-nucleotide ribosomal RNA is filed under the name uncultured bacterium. Its description in RNAcentral is "bacterial SSU rRNA". It matches the Rfam family "Bacterial small subunit ribosomal RNA", at positions 329 to 792 of the family's 1533-position model. The record is from RNAcentral.
GACCAGACUCCUACGGGAGGCAGCAGUGGGGAAUAUUGCACAAUGGGGGAAACCCUGAUGCAGCAACGCCGCGUGAGUGAAGAAGUAUUUCGGUAUGUAAAGCUCUAUCAGCAGGGAAGAAAAUGACGGCACCUGACCAAGAAGCCCCGGCUAACUACGUGCCAGCAGCCGCGGUAAUACGUAGGGGGCAAGCGUUAUCCGGAUUUACUGGGUGUAAAGGGAGCGUAGACGGCAAGGCAAGUCUGGAGUGAAAGCCCGGGGCCCAACCACGGGACUGCUUUGGAAACUGUGUUGCUGGAGUGCAGGAGGGGUAAGCGGAAUUCCUGGUGUAGCGGUGAAAUGCGUAGAUAUUAGGAGGAACACCAGUGGCGAAGGCGGCUUACUGGACUGUAACUGACGUUGAGGCUCGAAGGCGUGGGGAGCAAACAGGAUUAGAUACCCGUGUA